UGGGGAAUAUUGGACAAUGGGCGCAAGCCUGAUCCAGCAAUGCCGCGUGGGUGAAGAAGGUCUUCGGAUCGUAAAGCCCUUUCGACGGGGACGAUGAUGACGGUACCCGUAGAAGAAGCCCCGGCUAACUUCGUGCCAGCAGCCGCGGUAAUACGAAGGGGGCUAGCGUUGCUCGGAAUUACUGGGCGUAAAGGGCGCGUAGGCGGUUGCUUUAGUCAGGCGUGAAAUUCCCGGGCUUAACCUGGGGACUGCGCUUGAUACUGGGUGACUUGAGGGUGGAAGAGGGUCGUGGAAUUCCCAGUGUAGAGGUGAAAUUCGUAGAUAUUGGGAAGAACACCGGUGGCGAAGGCGGCGACCUGGUCCAUUACUGACGCUGAGGCGCGACAGCGUGGGGAGCAAACAG
This 403-nucleotide ribosomal RNA is filed under the name uncultured bacterium. RNAcentral's name for it is "bacterial SSU rRNA". It matches the Rfam family "Bacterial small subunit ribosomal RNA", at positions 355 to 775 of the family's 1533-position model. The record is from RNAcentral.